RNAcentral lists this transfer RNA (72 nucleotides) under Sphaerobolus stellatus SS14. Its description in RNAcentral is "tRNA-Arg (CCT) (tRNA-Arg-CCT-3-1)". It matches the Rfam family "tRNA". Rfam says of the family: Transfer RNA (tRNA) molecules are approximately 80 nucleotides in length. The record is from RNAcentral. Lineage: Eukaryota; Fungi; Basidiomycota; Agaricomycetes; Geastrales; Sphaerobolaceae.
GCCGCGUUGGCCCAAUGGUAAGGCGUCUCUUUCCUAAGGAGAAGACUAUGGGUUCGAGUCCCAUACGUGGUA